GACGAACGCUGGCGGCGUGCUUAACACAUGCAAGUCGAACGGUGAAGCCCUUCGGGUGGAUCAGUGGCGAACGGGUGAGUAACACGUGAGCAAUCUGCCCUUGACUCUGGGAUAACUUCGGGAAACCGGAGCUAAUACCGGAUAUGACGCAUGGCCGCAUGGUCUGUGUGUGGAAAGAUUUAUUGGUCAGGGAUGAGCUCGCGGCCUAUCAGCUUGUUGGGGGGUAAUGGCCUACCAAGGCGACGACGGGUAGCCGGCCUGAGAGGGUGUCCGGCCACACUGGGACUGAGAUACGGCCCAGACUCCUACGGGAGGCAGCAGUGGGGAAUAUUGCACAAUGGGCGCAAGCCUGAUGCAGCGACGCCGCGU
This 369-nucleotide ribosomal RNA is filed under the name uncultured bacterium. RNAcentral describes it as "bacterial SSU rRNA". It matches the Rfam family "Bacterial small subunit ribosomal RNA", at positions 28 to 402 of the family's 1533-position model. The record is from RNAcentral.